Molecule: long non-coding RNA, 639 nt
Organism: Carassius auratus (goldfish)
Lineage: Eukaryota; Metazoa; Chordata; Actinopteri; Cypriniformes; Cyprinidae
Exons: 3
Source: RefSeq, a predicted model, not a curated record
ACUAACGCUGGGCUCGAUUUGUCUUCUUUACUUUCUUUUUCUGGACAGCUGUCAGUAAACUUUACUAAACAUUAAUCAUAAAUGUACAUUGAUCUAGUAAAUUUGGUUGCUAACUUGAGUGUAGCUCUGUCAAGCACUAAUACUACCGUGGUUUAACAUUUCCGUGGUUAUUUUGUUCUGCUUUGUUUACGGUUCAGCCUGUUUUAGGGCGGAACACAGAGAGAGGAAGAGGAAGAGGGGAGAAGAGAAGAGGAAGAAGGAGGAGCAAAACUCUUAGACGUUGAAGUUAUUGUUUUAACAAAAUUUAAGAUAACUUUAAAUGGCUUAAUUCUUGUUAAUGUUUUAUUUGUGUUACUCAAACGAUUUAAAACUAAACUAGAUCGGUUGGUUCAUUGUAUUUUAAGGGCAAUUUAGUUUUGUCGUCGAAUUGUAAAGCUCAGGCUUUCUCUUUCUCAACAUGUGAGGUACGAUUUUCUCAUCGCCUCAUCGAGACAUAACACUCGAUAGCUUCAAUCCAGACUGCAACAAGGUCUUCUGUGAGGUGGAGACAUGGGUGACUUAACGAUGCAUGACUACCACAAACUUUCUGGAGACAGUGAUGACAGCGAUUACUCAAAUGAGAGCAUUGAACAGCCUCCU